This 463-nucleotide ribosomal RNA is filed under the name Vreelandella stevensii. Its description in RNAcentral is "partial 16S ribosomal RNA". It matches the Rfam family "Bacterial small subunit ribosomal RNA", at positions 338 to 794 of the family's 1533-position model. The record is from RNAcentral. Lineage: Bacteria; Pseudomonadati; Pseudomonadota; Gammaproteobacteria; Oceanospirillales; Halomonadaceae.
CCUACGGGAGGCUGCAGUGGGGAAUAUUGGACAAUGGGCGAAAGCCUGAUCCAGCCAUGCCGCGUGUGUGAAGAAGGCCUUCGGGUUGUAAAGCACUUUCAGUGGGGAAGAAAGCCUUGGGGCUAAUACCCUCGAGGAAGGACAUCACCCACAGAAGAAGCACCGGCUAACUCCGUGCCAGCAGCCGCGGUAAUACGGAGGGUGCGAGCGUUAAUCGGAAUUACUGGGCGUAAAGCGCGCGUAGGCGGUCUGAUAAGCCGGUUGUGAAAGCCCCGGGCUCAACCUGGGAACGGCAUCCGGAACUGUCAGGCUAGAGUGCAGGAGAGGAAGGUAGAAUUCCCGGUGUAGCGGUGAAAUGCGUAGAGAUCGGGAGGAAUACCAGUGGCGAAGGCGGCCUUCUGGACUGACACUGACGCUGAGGUGCGAAAGCGUGGGUAGCAAACAGGAUUAGAUACCCUAUAGC